UCAAAAUCCAAGUAGAAGAUAAAUUUUGGAAUAAGAAGAAACCUGUGUAUGCUGAAAAGAAAUCACAGAAGGAUUGUUGAGAAGAAUCUAGAGUUCAAGUUCUGGUCACAUGGUGUGGGAGAUGAAUAUUUCUAACUCGGACUGAGAAGGAAAUCUGCACAUAAAAGAUAUUCAAGCUUUUCCCUGCUCUGGAACACCAGGACAAUUGCUCAGGGCCACCCCCCCC
Agelaius phoeniceus (red-winged blackbird) is the source of this 226-nucleotide non-coding RNA. Lineage: Eukaryota; Metazoa; Chordata; Aves; Passeriformes; Icteridae. The record is from RefSeq and is a predicted model, not a curated record.